UUCUGAUCAGGCGCAAUGUAAGUCAGUCCUUAGAAACCCGGAAGUGACGUGUGGCGUAACGUCAGCAACAACAGUAGUCAAAAUGAGGCUGCAUGCUUGCGUUCAUCCAAUAUUACUUUUGAAACAAGAACAAACCUGAAGAACAUAGCCAUAAAUUACCUUGGACGCUAGUUUCUCAAACAGGCUUUCACUAAAAAAAGAGGAGUCUUAGGAAGACAGAAUUCACGCCAGUUCCACUGAUGAACUUUUCAUGCCUUAUUUUUUUAAGACUGAUUGAAAUGUAAUAAAGUAAAAUGUUUACUGA
Molecule: long non-coding RNA, 304 nt
Organism: Carassius gibelio (silver crucian carp)
Lineage: Eukaryota; Metazoa; Chordata; Actinopteri; Cypriniformes; Cyprinidae
Exons: 3
Source: RefSeq, a predicted model, not a curated record